UUUAUUAACUAGGUUAUUUAUUACCAGUAUGAAUUUGUAAGUUUUUUUCAUUUAUUUUGUUUAUUUUAUUACAUUACCCUUUUUUUAUAUUUUAAAUGCAAGCAUAUUUAAAUAUUUACAUUUCAAUGGGUCAUCUUGCCCCCCACUUCCAACACCUCUAAUCCUUGGGAUGUGGUGAGUCUGCCCUCCCUCAGAUGCAGAACAGGAGUUCCUUCUCCUGUGCCCCUCCCCUUAGUUUUGGAGGGGACAGAUCUGUGUACACUUAGAAAAGUUGUACAAAUAAUUAAACUCUGACUCUUCGUUACUCAGCUAUGAAGUUGUAAAGCGUGAGAGUCAGAGCUGCCCAUCCUGUGGAGUGGUGGUAGGAGGAAGAGAGGGGAUAUGGAGCUCAUUGGACACAGACCUGCCUCCCUGUAUUAUGAUUUGUCCUCCAAAGCCAAAUGACAGGGAGGGAAAGUGAACAGUCUGAAAUGUGGGUGGCACUUCAUUUCCUUUGCAUCACCUCUAAAAUAAAACACAUUUGUCCCAUCUCUCUGGCAAGGUUGAGAGGUGACCUUCCUUGCCUUUCCACACUGUCCUCCCCGGUGCUCUUGGCCUGCAGGCUGCUGUCUUCAUCAAACCAGGCUAAGAAAUAGAUGCAAGAAAGAUCCGUCGGAGGCCGGAUCUCUUACUGUUCUGAAUGUGAAGUAGCACAUUGGAUACCAUUACAGAAGACCUAGGCGCUGUGUUGAAUAUUCUUAUUCACUUUCUCCUGCGUAAAACUCAACAGCGUGUUUCUCCAUCCUUUCUCCCUGCAUUUGCCAAAAGAGGCCACGCUGAACUGGAUCUGCGGUCAUGGAAUUCACCUUACUGAUGCCUAUUCAGGAUGGCGGGCCGAGAGGAAGUAAAAUACCUAGCUAGCAGUGUGUGCUGUACGCCCUUCUAGAUUAUGUGUCGACCGCCAACAAAUGCUGUGAUAGGCUCUUCUUGAUAGCUCUAAUCUCAGUUAAAGUCUUUAGAAGUCCCACAUUUUCAAUACAAACCUCACAGAAUCAUGACAUAAAGGGAAAGCACACAGUUGAAUCUGGAUAGGAAAGUUCUGGCUCCCCAGCAAUAGCUCUGAGAAUUUGCAAGGGGCACCUAAACUUUUUGGGUUGUAGGGUGUUAUCACCAAUAAAUGAAGUAUUUGGAUUA
Equus caballus (horse) is the source of this 1173-nucleotide non-coding RNA. Lineage: Eukaryota; Metazoa; Chordata; Mammalia; Perissodactyla; Equidae. The record is from RefSeq and is a predicted model, not a curated record.